UACGUAGGGGGCUAGCGUUGUCCGGAAUUAUUGGGCGUAAAGCGUCCGUAGGCGGUGUGUCGCGUCGGCCGUGAAAACCUGCAGCUUAACUGUGGGCUUGCGGUCGAUACGGGCAUCACUGGAGUUCGGCAGGGGAGACUGGAAUUCCUGGUGUAGCGGUGAAAUGCGCAGAUAUCAGGAGGAACACCGGUGGCGAAGGCGGGUCUCUGGGCCGAUACUGACGCUGAGGAGCGAAAGCGUGGGGAGCGAACAGG
RNAcentral lists this ribosomal RNA (254 nucleotides) under uncultured bacterium. Its description in RNAcentral is "partial 16S ribosomal RNA". It matches the Rfam family "Bacterial small subunit ribosomal RNA", at positions 524 to 776 of the family's 1533-position model. The record is from RNAcentral.